UACGGAGGGUGCGAGCGUUGUCCGGAAUUACUGGGCGUAAAGGGCUCGUAGGCGGCCAACUAAGUCGGAUGUGAAAUCCCCAGGCUUAACCUGGGAACUGCAUCCGAUACUGGAUGGCUUGAAUCCGGGAGAGGGAUGCAGAAUUCCAGGUGUAGCGGUGAAAUGCGUAGAUAUCUGGAGGAAUACCGGUGGCGAAGGCGGCAUCCUGGACCGGCAUUGACGCUGAGUGAGCGAAAGCCAGGGGAGCAAACGGG
This 254-nucleotide ribosomal RNA is filed under the name uncultured bacterium. RNAcentral describes it as "partial 16S ribosomal RNA". It matches the Rfam family "Bacterial small subunit ribosomal RNA", at positions 524 to 776 of the family's 1533-position model. The record is from RNAcentral.